AACCUGCCUUUGAGAAGGGGAUAACUGUCCGAAAGGAUAGCUAAUACCCUAUAUUGCCUUUUGUCACUAAGGCAAAAGGUGAAAGCGAGGCUGUCAAAGGCUUCGACUCAAAGAGGGGUUCGCGUCCUAUCAGGUAGUUGGUGGGGUAAUGGCCUACCAAGCCAAUGACGGGUAGCUGGUCUUAGAGGAUGAUCAGCCACAGUGGGACUGAGACACGGCCCGCACCCCUACGGGGGGCAGCAGUGGGGAAUCGUGGGCAAUGGGCGCAAGCCUGACCCCGCAAUGCCGCGUGAGGGAAGAAGCCCUUCGGGGUGUAAACCUCUGUCAGAUGGGAAGAUGGGACUAGGGGCUAAUACCUCCUGGUCUUGACAGUACCAUCAGAGGAAGGGACGGCUA
This 396-nucleotide ribosomal RNA is filed under the name uncultured bacterium. RNAcentral's name for it is "bacterial SSU rRNA". It matches the Rfam family "Bacterial small subunit ribosomal RNA", at positions 123 to 499 of the family's 1533-position model. The record is from RNAcentral.